RNAcentral lists this long non-coding RNA (1844 nucleotides) under Homo sapiens (human). RNAcentral describes it as "HSALNT0352468". Lineage: Eukaryota; Metazoa; Chordata; Mammalia; Primates; Hominidae. The record is from RNAcentral.
AAGAUGGAUUUUUGCAUGAGACGCUUCUGGACAGAGAACCAAAUUGAAAGCUGACAGAUACUGCAAAUGACUGGGAUUUUUGUUUCUGCCUUAUCUUUUUGUGUUUUUUUCUGAAUAAAAUAUUCAGAGGAAAUGCUUUUACAGAGUUCUUGAGUUGUUGUGAACUUAUUGUUUAGCUAGUAGCUAGUUUAACCAGGAUUAAACAAGUUUAAUCAGGAUUCUUCAUGGAUGUACUUUUUAGCUAACUACAGUUUUUCACAUGGAAAUGAAACUUACAGUAAACACUUAACGUACCACAGAAUUUUUUUCUGGAUUUCUGGUCCUGAAGCAUGAAGUGUACUAGAAACCAAUUCUUCCUGCGCUACUUGUGGAAUCUUUCUUACUGGAUCAUAAUCUUACUUUACUUUAUACAAUAGAUGCUUAAUCAGUGCCUUUAAUAGGAAGUUAGAAACUCCCAAUCCAAUCAACAAGGCUUUGAUUCUACCUCCUAAGUACUACCCAGAUCACAGACAAUCCAAAUAUCAGAACUAGGGGGCUGGGCAGAGAGGACAAAUCAUCUAUUAGGGAGUGGGACAGAAAGUGGAAACAUUACAAAGGAGCAAGUAGGCUCAGAACAGAGGGGAGAGUAAUACUGGGGAAACUCCCUACUGAGGACAGGUUUGCCACAGUGGAUAUGUAUGUGAUGCUUUUGUCCUCAUGGGCUGGAAUGGAAGCUGAUAAAGAAGUUCAGACGCUACGUGUUGCUUAGGUCUGCUUUGUUGAAGCAUGUCUCUUUCAGAGUUCCUAAACACAAUAUUCCCGUGGCAUCUAAUCCCAGUGAGUGCUCCAAAUCCAGGCUGUGUAUCAGAUGCCACGGGAAAUUCUGCCUCAGGACUGAGGUUGGUUCAAGCAUCUGGAUGAUGUCAAAAGUCCACGUUGCGUGCUGGCCUAACCUGAAAGACCCUAUCUAGUUCUAGCCUUUAAAUUCCUUCUGUCACCAAAUCUAGAGUUACAUGGCAUCUGUACAAGCUAGGUAGCUGAGGCAUGGGAUCAGCUCUAUAAAGGAGCUUUUGGAGCUUUUGUUGUAGGUCUAGCUCCAACUUGGCACUCCAGUUCCAAUAGCUGGACUUUCUCUCAUCGUGUGUUCUGAUCCUUGGAUUGGGAACAAAGUAACCACUCUGAUCUCACAAAGCAGUGGUUCCAGUUCCCAACUGGUGACUAUUUUGCCUCCCAGGGGACAUUUUCGUUUUCACAACUGGAAUACGGUCUUAGAGAGUAGAGGCUAGGGAUGCUGCGAAGCAUGUGGCAGAAUCCUGUUCCGCCCAGAAUGCUAACAGUGCCAAGGUUAUGGAGCCUUCCCACCCGAGGGCUUGGUCUAUUCCUUGCUUUUGCCAGCUCCCUAACCCUUAAACACAACAGUUCAAAUCUAUAUGCAUAAGCAUCUCCUAGGGACCUGCACGUUUCCAAUAUCGACUACUGAGACCCAUCUGUAGAGAUGCAGGCUUAGGAGGUCUAGGAUUGGGCUCAAAAUUUGCAUUUUAACAAGUACUCCAGGUCAUUCUGAAGCAAGUGAUACAAACCACAGAAUGAGGAACACCGCCUUCAAGAGACUGAAUCUUGCUUCCCAACACUAGCUUGGUAUCUGAGACCAUCUGCCUGCUGACUGGCUUUCCUGGCACAAACAUUCUGCAUGUAGGCACAGUGUGUUCCUGGACUCCACGUCAACCCGUUCACCCUCAUGUUCCCUUGGUUCCUGUCCCCAGUCCAGCAAGCAGAACUGAUUAUAGAUCUUGACAACAGAAGAUACAGAUUUAAAAUAACUUGCCUGUUCCCGUGGACUUUAUCCACUAGUGAAGGAGGACAAG